Molecule: ribosomal RNA, 429 nt
Filed under: Chloroflexota bacterium
Lineage: Bacteria; Bacillati; Chloroflexota
Description: Chloroflexi bacterium partial 16S ribosomal RNA
Rfam family: Bacterial small subunit ribosomal RNA
Source: RNAcentral
UGGGGAAUAUUGCACAAUGGGCGCAAGCCUGAUGCAGCCAUGCCGCGUGUAUGAAGAAGGCCUUCGGGUUGUAAAGUACUUUCAGCGGGGAGGAAGGGAGUAAAGUUAAUACCUUUGCUCAUUGACGUUACCCGCAGAAGAAGCACCGGCUAACUCCGUGCCAGCAGCCGCGGUAAUACGGAGGGUGCAAGCGUUAAUCGGAAUUACUGGGCGUAAAGCGCACGCAGGCGGUUUGUUAAGUCAGAUGUGAAAUCCUCGGGCUCAACCUGGGAACUGCAUCUGAUACUGGCGAGCUUGAGUGUCGUAGAGGGGGGUAGAAUUCCAGGUGUGGCGGUGAAAUGCGUAGAGAUCUGGGGGAAUACCGGUGGCGAAGGCGGCCCCCUGGACGAAGACUGACGCUCAGGUGCGAAAGCGUGGGGGGCAAACAGG